CCCGGCCGCUAUCGUUUGUGGCUUCGCCAACACACAAGACGCUUUCACCCUACCUUGGUCCCACGACUUGCCCUCAGCGCAACGCAGACUUCCGCCCCACUCCUCUCACAAGCCCUCGCAGCAGCCAUUGCACUCGCACACCCGCACACACACAUACACACAAAGGACAACGACGACGACAACGACGGCGAGAAAAUUAAAAAAAAAACGAACGGAAAGGCGGUAUGCGACGGCACGGCGGGUGCGGUACGAACGUGAUGACGAGACGUACCUCCCUGAUCGCCCCGCUCUCCUCUACUUGCGCCCUGCUGCCGACGACGGCGCACGCGGGGGCGCCGUCUCUGCCGGCGUUUUUCUCCGCCCCGCUUCACACGGCGCAGCGGCAUAAGUCCUUCGCGGCCACGAUCCACGACAUGACAAUCAUGCGCAUGGGGUCCUCGUACAAGCCGGGUACGUACAGCUCCAAGGACAUCAGCUCGGGUCCGCAGGCCGGCAUCGGCCAUGACCCUGUCUUCGCCAGCUUCCUCUUGAAGAAGAUUGUGGGGCCGCUGCGGCGCAAGCAGAGCAACUCGCCGGAGGACUUCCUCAACGUGGACGAAGCUGGCAAGUGGAUGGACGCCAAGAACGCGGCGAAGGUGCUCGGCAUCAAGGAGGAGGAGCUGCCAAAGUUGACCAAGACGACGCUGGAGGAUGCGUUCAGAAAGGAGUACAAGGGGCGCACAAACGCCCAUCAAGAAGAGGUGGUGAUCGCGACGGAGGUUCUCCUCGAGUACCUCGACUCGUCCGUGUACGUGAAGAAGAGCCGGCAGUACUACCGCAAGUUCCUGGAGAACGCCAGGCUCGAGGUGGAUGCCGAGCUGACCAGGGAGCAGCGCGAGCGCAAUGAGUCGCUCAUAUGGUGGUUCGGUAUCGCAAUCACCGGCGCCUGCGCCGUCGUCUUCUUUGUUGCCUACUCCCGCAAGUAUGUCACGCGCAGUGACGUGGCCAACAUCGGCACCAAGACGUCCGAGUACUUUGUUAUGACGUUCCUGCAGCCGAAGAACACGGAGCCGAAGCCGGACUACAAUACCCGGUACUUCAACACACCCAGCUCCAUGGAGCUGGACAAGAAGAACGGCCGCUACGCUAAGCAGUUUUUGAGCGCGGAGGAGAUUCGCCACGCUGAGCGCUCAGCAGCCUACGUGAAGCAAGAGGAGGCCGAGAUGUUGAAGCUGUUCAACGAUGAGCGGGAGCGUAGCGUGCGUGAUCGCCAGGAUGACAAGGCUCUCGAGAGCCGCGUCUCCGUCUACCUUCCCGAAAAGGUCGAGACGGCCGAGCAGCCUGCGCGAUCGCGUGACAGCAGCGACAAGACCGCGUUUGAGAAGUUGACCUUCCAGGAGUUCAGUGGCAUGCUGGCCAGCAACUUCGGCGGCGGCUCGCGCUUUCAGCGGCUGACGGAGGAGACAUCGUCGCGCACGGAGCGCUUGAACGCCGCGCGUGAGCGAAUCAAGUCGGCGAGCUCGUAGCGGCGUUGAGUCGGCGUUUGUAGAGGGGAGGGCUGGGGAGAGGAGACCAGGGCACGGGUGGUGGUGGUGGUGAUGGAUGCGCUGGGCGUGGACGGCCCCAGGCACCUUUUGCUGUCUUCUUGUCUGUCUCCUGGCUUUGCUUGCUUGCCUUCAGCUCUAACAGCGGCUUGGGAGCGACAGGGCGUGCGCGCGUGAAGGGUGUCGCCGGUGCUCGCAGACGUUGACAUGCCCGUAGUUUACAUACGCGGCCUACGCUUCACUGGUGUCUCUCCUCCCAG
Molecule: unclassified non-coding RNA, 1783 nt
Filed under: Leishmania donovani
Lineage: Eukaryota; Euglenozoa; Kinetoplastea; Trypanosomatida; Trypanosomatidae
Description: gene:LdHU3.23.2150(CDS-product:hypothetical_prote in_conserved)
Source: RNAcentral